RNAcentral lists this ribosomal RNA (439 nucleotides) under uncultured bacterium. RNAcentral's name for it is "partial 16S ribosomal RNA". It matches the Rfam family "Bacterial small subunit ribosomal RNA", at positions 339 to 795 of the family's 1533-position model. The record is from RNAcentral.
CUACGGGUGGCUGCAGCGAGGAAUAUUGCACAAUGGGGGGAACCCUGAUGCAGCAACGCCGCGUGGAGGAUGACGCAUUUCGGUGUGUAAACUCCUUUUAUAUGUCAAGAAAAUGACGGUAGCAUAUGAAUAAGCACCGGCUAACUCCGUGCCAGCAGCCGCGGUAAUACGGAGGGUGCAAGCGUUACUCGGAAUCACUGGGCGUAAAGGACGCGUAGGCGGGCUUGUAAGUCAGGUGUGAAAUCCUACAGCUUAACUGUAGAACUGCACUUGAAACUACGAGCCUAGAGUAUGGGAGGGGGAGAUGGAAUUAGUGGUGUAGGGGUAAAAUCCGUAGAUAUCACUAGGAAUACCUAAAGCGAAGGCGAUCUCCUGGAACAUAACUGACGCUAAGGCGUGAAAGCGUGGGGAGCAAACAGGAUUAGAUACCCCUGUAGUC